RNAcentral lists this ribosomal RNA (254 nucleotides) under uncultured bacterium. Its description in RNAcentral is "partial 16S ribosomal RNA". It matches the Rfam family "Bacterial small subunit ribosomal RNA", at positions 524 to 776 of the family's 1533-position model. The record is from RNAcentral.
CACGUAGGGGGCGAGCGUUGUCCGGAUUUAUUGGGCGUAAAGGGCUCGUAGGCGGCUCAGUAAGUCGGGUGUGAAACCUCCAGGCUCAACCUGGAGACGCCACUCGAUACUGCUGUGGCUAGAGUCCGGUAGGGGAGCAUGGAAUUCCUGGUGUAGAGGUGAAAUGCGCAGAUAUCAGGAGGAACACCAGUGGCGAAGGCGGUGCUCUGGGCCGGAACUGACGCUGAUGAGCGAAAGCGUGGGGAGCAAACAGG